This 492-nucleotide ribosomal RNA is filed under the name uncultured bacterium. Its description in RNAcentral is "partial 16S ribosomal RNA". It matches the Rfam family "Bacterial small subunit ribosomal RNA", at positions 29 to 507 of the family's 1533-position model. The record is from RNAcentral.
AGUGAACGCUGGCGGUUGGCCUAACACAUGCAAGUCGAACGACAGAACAGUGAGCUUUCGCUCUUACGGGUGGCGGGUGGCGGGCGGGUGAGGAAUACAUCAGCAUCCACUUAUUCGUGGGGGAUAUCGUGGGAACAGUUCCGCUAAUACCGCAUACGUUCUACGGGUGUAAGCAAGUGUUCUUAGGACCUUGCGCGAUUGCAUGAGCCGGCGGCGGCUUAGCUAGUUGGCGGGGUAAAGGCUCACCAAGGCGACGAUGCGUAGCCGACCUGAGAGGGUGAUCGGCCACACUGGAACUGAGACACGGUCCAGACUCCUACGGGAGGCAGCAGUAGGGAAUAUUCCGCAAUGGGCGAAAGCCUGACGGAGCAAUGCCGCGUGAGUGAAGAAGGUCUUCGGAUCGUAAAACUCUGUUGUUAGGGAAGAAAAAAUGCGUAAGUAACUCCCCGUGUCUUGACGGUACCUAAACAGAAAGCCACGGCUAACUACGUG